RNAcentral lists this ribosomal RNA (424 nucleotides) under uncultured bacterium. Its description in RNAcentral is "bacterial SSU rRNA". It matches the Rfam family "Bacterial small subunit ribosomal RNA", at positions 359 to 775 of the family's 1533-position model. The record is from RNAcentral.
GAAUUGUUCGCAAUGGGCGCAAGCCUGACGACGCAACGCCGCGUGGAGGACGAAGACCUUCGGGUCGUAAACUCCUUUCGAUCGAGACGAACGGCCUUUGGGCUAAUCACCAGAGGAGUGACGGUACCGAGAGAAGAAGCCCCGGCUAACUCCGUGCCAGCAGCCGCGGUAAUACGGGGGGGGCAAGCGUUGUUCGGAAUUACUGGGCGUAAAGGGCUCGUAGGUGGCCAACUAAGUCAGACGUGAAAUCCCUCGGCUUAACCGGGGAACUGCGUCUGAUACUGGAUGGCUUGAGUUUGGGAGAGGGAUGCGGAAUUCCAGGUGUAGCGGUGAAAUGCGUAGAUAUCUGGAGGAACACCGGUGGCGAAGGCGGCAUCCUGGACCAACACUGACACUGAUGAGCGAAAGCCAGGGGAGCAAACGG